CGCUUCGGGUAGGUUACGCGAGUAGGUAAAGAAGUACUCCUCCGAAUCCACCGGGUUUCGCCCGCCGCCGACUUUGCCCCUUCUGUCUCGUGUUCAUCGACCGGCGGUUUAUUUGGUCUUUCUUAUUCUGGUUUUCUUGGCGCCGCUGAUCGAUUGCUUUCCAACCAUUGAUUCGUGGAGAUCUGAAACCCUUAGGAACCUUGAGGAACGAGUACGAUCGCCGCAGCCGUGCCGAAGGUGGCGGUUCCUAUUUCUCAACAGCCCUAGAAUUGAUUAGACAAGGUUAACGACUCCGCUCUGUGGCAGGACUGGAUCUUCCCGCUCUCAUAAUCUUCGAACGAUCCUUUCUCUCUCUCUCUCUCUCUCGCUCGCUCGUUCGCUAAUUCGACCAAUCGGUGCCCCGUUGGUAAUCUUUGAAAAGGUUUAUCUUGUUUGCUUUUGAGAUAAUAAGGGAUUGCCUUUGACAGUUCAAAUACUCAUUUAAUCUUUUUUGGUGGGAAAACUCAAAUUUUAGGAUUUCGACAAGGAAAAAAUGAUUGAAGUUGUCGAAAGAAGAACGAAAGAUUAAAUCUUGCAGAUUCAACUGAUUUGAAUCGAAUAUAGGGUUCCAGUAUAUUGUUGGACGACGCAAAAGGUGUUCCAUUUCUUGAAUUCCUUGGUAAAUGGUGGUGUGCUUUAGUGCCUCUUCAUUUGUUUUCCGUGCAACUGGUUGUUUACACCUGAAUGUGCAUGCGUUAUAUUGUUUUGCUUAUGAUAGUGUUGUUGCUUUGUUGUUUGAUUGCAACGAGGUCGAUCAUCUUCGCAUUUCUAAGUAAGGCCCAACAAAUUGGAAUUGAGGUCCCUUUUAACUUCAUUCUUCUGCUGUCUCUGAGCGUCCAGUUCAACAAUGGUUGUAACGUUUCUAUUUUUGAAGUCCUUCAACAUAUUCUUGUUGAUUUACCAACUUGCAUUCUUCACAACUUAUGCUCUUUCAGUACUUCUCUGGGUUGAGGUUCAUUGUCAGGUUUGAAAUUGAUUAGUAAAGAAGUGGUCUUUCUUAAUUUCCCUGUUUCUUGGUCAUUCUUGUGCCUCGAGCACAUUCAGUAUCAACUGAUGGAUUCAAGCCAACUUUCUUUUAAAUUAAUAAGGUAGUUUACUCUCUACCAGUAACUUUGAUUAAAUCAUAAAGCCUGGAUGAAGUAAACAAUAUGUAUGCCUCCUUUUUCCUUCUUGUAGAGUAGAUUUAUGGUUUACUUGCCUUAAAUUUGUUGCUUAAAUAUUGCUCUAUAUUUCCGAUACUUCUUGUAUGAGUUGUAGACUUUGUAUAUCAUUGGAACUUCAGAAAUUGAAAAUAUAUAUACAACAGAAUAAAGUAGUUGUAGAUCCUUUCUCUUUUCUGUAGCCAACUCAUCUUUUAGGCUUGUGCAACAAAAACUACUAAAUUAUUUAGUCUCUUGGAACCAUAUUUUUCCAUCCUCUGAAGUCAUGAAUUUUGAGCUUUAGAUUUUGUGAGACUUUUUAACUUAAUUCGUUGAAAUAUGGAUGGAAAAGUAUAAUAUUCCUUUUUUUUGGAAUUUAAGUUUAGUUUUGUUGGAGUUCUGUUAGAAUCCAUCCUGUGCUUAUCUUGUCGAAGCUGUAUUUUUCAGGUAGUGUUUGAUUACAGUUGUUGGUUUUAUACUAGAUGCAACUUCUACUAGUUGAUGAAUAAAGCAGGAAAAUAUGGAUUAUUAGGUGUUUCAUUCUUUCCAGCCCUUGGGUUUCUCCUUUACUGAGGAAGGUAAGUUUUUUAUCAUACUCUUCCCUGAUAUGUGAUCCAUCCAGUCUUAAUGUGUUUUCUUCAAAUUUUUGUAAUUUUCAGUCUCUCUGUUGUUACUUAUGUCCUUGUUGCAAAUCAAUCAUAGAGUUCAUAUUUGAUUAGCAAGAUAACUCAAACCUAAAAUAUCAUGCUCAUUUAUACCUUUAUUUAUCAUCCUUGCUUCUGUUUUGAUACGUAAGAAUCAUUUAGUUAUAUCUACUUCAUCUGAUGACGGGUGUUCUAAGAUUUAUACAAUUCUUGUGGUGUCUCUGCUUGAGCUAUAUGGCCAUUAUGACUGGUUGCAGGUAUGCUCUAACUUAGAUGAGUGGGUUAUCUCAAACAUGUGUGCACGACAAGAUUUAAAAUCUCAUGGUAUACUACUUGUACCAGGUGGUAUCUGCUGGAGUGUUACAUGGUCAGUCUAGCGGUAUACAGUGAUUCAGGGCAAACCAGCCUUCAAUGCUUUAAAUGAUACAGUUCAAGUAUUGGACUGGUCCAGCUUGUGAUUUUAAUGGUAUAUUGCCUGUACCAGGGGGUCUAUGCUGGACUGGUACAUCGACAGUCAACUACCAGGCAAUAUUCAGUGAUUCAGGUUGGAUUUGCCACAACUGUAUGUUUCUCUUGUUUCUUGCCGGGAUGCAUCUUGAAAGUUCAAUCCCUGGAAAACAGUUCUUGGUUUAAAUGCAAUUGACAAAGCUAUAGACCUCGACGUUCUCAGCAUCAUGCUAAGGCGCACAAGACAGAGGAGCUACAGCUAAAGAUGUGUCAUCUUCAGAGUAUCCAAUCCCUGGAAAACAGUUCUUGUUUUAAAUGUAUUGGACAAAGCUGCAGACCUCGACGUUCUCAGCAUCGUGGUCACCAUCAUAGUAUCCAAACUCCAUCAAUCGAGUUCAUGUGCUCAUUCUCUGCUGGCUGCAGUGUUGUUGUUGAUGCAGCAAGGCGCACAAGACAGAGGAGCUACGGCUGAAGAUGUGGAUGAUGAAGCCGCAGCCACUGGGUGUCAUCUUCACAUAAACGUGAGACAUGAAUCCCUGUCCUUUUCCACAGUUUGCUCGUGCAUUACAAUUAACAUGGCUGAUGGGCAUCCCCAGCGGUACGGCACAUUCAAUCCGAAUAAAGAUUGGAACAUGGCUCACCACAUGGUGGUCCUUUUUGACUUUGA
Musa acuminata AAA Group (dessert banana) is the source of this 2936-nucleotide long non-coding RNA. RefSeq lists it as uncharacterized. The transcript has 3 exons. NCBI's taxonomy places the organism in Eukaryota, Viridiplantae, Streptophyta, Magnoliopsida, Zingiberales, Musaceae. The record is from RefSeq and is a predicted model, not a curated record.